CCACAGGGAUAACUGGCUUGUGG
RNAcentral lists this small nuclear RNA (23 nucleotides) under Arabidopsis thaliana (thale cress). RNAcentral describes it as "snRNA_03696". The record is from RNAcentral. Lineage: Eukaryota; Viridiplantae; Streptophyta; Magnoliopsida; Brassicales; Brassicaceae.